CCGCGUUUCCCAAUAUCCGGGUGAUGUGAUGUUUUUGACAUGAAUCAUAUGACCGAGUGUCAGCAACAACCCGGAUGCUGAGCGGAGAAUGGAGGCGGUUUUAGAAACUCAACUGAGAGAAACGAUGAAGAAUCCCGCCAUUAUUGGGGUGCUCUGCGCUGAUGAACAGGGCCUAAACCUUGGCUGUCGUGGGUCACUGAUUGAUGAGCAUGCUGGCGUGGUGUCUGUUCUUGCACAGCAAGCAGCAAAACUGACUACUGACCCAACAGAUGUGCCGGUAAUCUGCUUGGAGUCGGACAGCGGGAAUAUCAUGAUCCAGAAACAUGGAGGCAUUACCAUUGCUGUGCAUAAGAUGACAGUCUAACAGAUGUUGAGGAGCCCUGAUGUGAUUAUAUGUGUCGUUCUGAGAGUUAUCGAUGUCGGCCACUUGGGAGUGCCAGUUGGAUCCUUGUUUAACGCUUUCAAAAGACAGCUACUGACCGUGUUCGAUGUCUGGGUCAUUGACAUUUUGGGGCUGGGUGCCAACGUAUCAGACCCCAUCCUGACAAGCCCCUCUGCCCUUUGUACCAACCCUUGAAUGCUGAGAAAGGCAGGAGGUCUACAUUGUGCUGAACUGGCCUCUGGCUAUAAACUCCUGAAAAUGCUGGUGUAGGAGUCGAAGUGAGGCUGAGGCUGAAUAAGACACGGUGAGGAGAUUGGAGAUUAAAGCCUUGAACUGAGAAGCUUUGGUAUUUUUGCAUCUGAUUCUUGACCUGAUCGAGGCCUUCAAAAUAAUGCCAGGUUGUGAUAGGAAAAACAGUGCAAGACUGUUUCCAUCAGACAGAAGGCAAGAGCCAAAAGGAGAUUAGAAAAACAGUUAUUUACCCAGAGCGUGGGGGUUGGGGUCAACGUUGAAUGCUUUGCAAAAGGCUGGCCUACAAUCAAAGUCCGGAAAUUCUUAAAAUGGGAUUCAGAGGGAGGCUCGAUAAAGAGAACUAUGAAAGGAAUGGGGAGUGAAGUUAGACAGAUUAAGGGUACGAGAGUGAAGGGAGAGUGGGAUCAGAUGGUUUAGGAUAUUAAAGGAUAAGGGAUGAGAGGAGAGUGGGAUCAGACGAAUUGGGAUAUUAAAGGAUAAGGGAUGAGAGAAGAGUGGGAUCAGAUGAAUUGGGAUAUUAAAGGGUACAGGAGUGAGAGGAGAGUGGGAUCAGACUGAAUGAGAUAUAAAUGGAUGCAGGAGUGAGAGGAGAGUGGGAUCAGACUGGUUGGGAUAUUAAUGGAUGCAGGAGUGAGAGGAGAGUGGGAUCAGACUGAUUGGGAUAUUAAAAGGUACGGGAGUUAGAGGAGAUUGGAAUCAAGAGGAGAGUGGGAUCAGACUGAUUGGGAUAUUAAUGGAUGCAGGAGUGAGAGGAGAGUGGGAUCAGACUGAUUGGGAUAUUAAUGGAUGCAGGAGUGAGAGGAGAGUGGGAUCAGACUGAUUGGGAUAUUAAUGGAUGCAGGAGUGAGAGGAGAGUGGAAUCAGACUGAUUGGGAUAUGAAAGGAUACAGGAGUGAGAGGAGAGUGGGAUCAGACUGAUUGGGAUAUUAAUGGAUGCAGGAGUGAGAGGAGAGUGGGAUCAGACUGAUUGGGAUAUAAAAGGAUACAGGAGUGAGAGGAGAGUGGGAUCAGACUGAUUGGGAUAUUAAUGGAUGCAGGAGUGAGAGGAGAGUGGGAUCAGACUGAUUGGGAUAUAAAAGGAUACAGAAAUGAGAGGAGAGUGGGAUCGGACUGAUUGGGAUAUGAAAGGAUACAGGAGUGAGAGGAGAGUGGGAUCAGACUGUUUGGGAUAUUAAAGGAUACGGGAGUGAGAGGAGAGUGGAUUCAAGAGGAGAGUGUGAUCAGAUGGAUUGGGAUAUUAAAAGGUGUGCGUCGAAGCGUUGGGUUAGACUGAGUGGCUCCUUUGGAAAUGAACACAAUACAGAUGGGCUGCAGGCCUAUUUGAUUUCUGGAACAUUCCGCUAUUCUAUAACAAUUCUUCUUCAAAUAAAAUACCAAGAAUAUCGGAACCAUUCACAAGGCCAAACAGAGCAAAGAGGAUCCCUCCAAACCUAACAUUUUAAAUCCAAGACAAAUGUCGCUUUUGACUCCUCCUGCAUGAAAGGAGUUUUUCUUUAUUUAGCACCUAUCACAUCUUCAAGACAUCCUGUAGCCCUUUCCAAACAACAGAUUAAAUUUGUUGUGAAGCC
Molecule: RNA transcript, 2202 nt
Organism: Carcharodon carcharias (great white shark)
Lineage: Eukaryota; Metazoa; Chordata; Chondrichthyes; Lamniformes; Lamnidae
Gene: lamtor5
Gene name: late endosomal/lysosomal adaptor, MAPK and MTOR activator 5
Exons: 5
Source: RefSeq, a predicted model, not a curated record